RNAcentral lists this ribosomal RNA (468 nucleotides) under uncultured bacterium. RNAcentral's name for it is "partial 16S ribosomal RNA". It matches the Rfam family "Bacterial small subunit ribosomal RNA", at positions 28 to 507 of the family's 1533-position model. The record is from RNAcentral.
GACGAACGCUGGCGGCGUGCUUAACACAUGCAAGUCGAACGGACAGGCCCUGCUUUUGUGGGGUUCUCGAGUGGCGAACGGGUGAGUAACACGUGAGUAACCUGCCCUUGACUUUGGGAUAACUUCAGGAAACUGGGGCUAAUACCGGAUAGGAGCUCCUGCUGCAUGGUGGGGGUUGGUAAGUUUCGGCGGUUGGGGAUGGACUCGCGGCUUAUCAGCUUGUUGGUGGGGUAGUGGCUUACCAAGGCUUUGACGGGUAGCCGGCCUGAGAGGGUGACCGGCCACAUUGGGACUGAGAUACGGCCCAGACUCCUACGGGAGGCAGCAGUGGGGAAUAUUGCACAAUGGGCGGAAGCCUGAUGCAGCAACGCCGCGUGCGGGAUGACGGCCUUCGGGUUGUAAACCGCUUUCGCCUGUGACGAAGCGUGAGUGACGGUAAUGGGUAAAGAAGCACCGGCUAACUACGUG